UCAGCGACUUACAUUCAGUGGCAAGGUUAACCAGAUUGGGGAGCCGUAGAGAAAUCGAGUCCGAACAGGGCGCCAGUCGCUGGGUGUAGACCCGAAACCAAGUGAUCUAUCCAUGGCCAGGUUGAAGGUGCGGUAACACGCACUGGAGGACCGAACCCACUAAUGUUGAAAAAUUAGGGGAUGAGCUGUGGAUAGGGGUGAAAAGGCUAAAACAAAACUYGGAAAAUAGCUGGUUCUCUCCGAAAAACUAUUUAGGUAGUGCCUCAAGUAUUACCUGCGGGGGUAGAGCACUGUUUAGGCUAGGGGGGUCAUGGCGACUUACCAAACCUAUGCAAACUCCCGAAUACCGCAGAGUACAGCUUGGGAGACAGAGCACCGGGUGCUAACGUCCGUCGUGAGAGGGAAACAACCCAGACCGCCAGCUAAGGCCCCUAAGCGUGUGCUAAGUGGGAAAGGAUGUGGAGUUGCUGAGACAACCAGGAGGUUGGCUUAGAAGCAGCCACCCUUGAAAGAGU
This 515-nucleotide small RNA is filed under the name uncultured Delftia sp. RNAcentral describes it as "bacterial LSU rRNA". It matches the Rfam family "Bacterial large subunit ribosomal RNA", at positions 622 to 1132 of the family's 2925-position model. Lineage: Bacteria; Pseudomonadati; Pseudomonadota; Betaproteobacteria; Burkholderiales; Comamonadaceae. The record is from RNAcentral.